GACCUCCUGGUGCUGGCCGCAGGCUGUGUUCCUCCACCGACUGUGUAGACAGAGGAGGCAGAGGAAGCCUACCCCAAGUGCACCUGCCCAGGCGCUGUGCCUCAUCUGUACUGUGAAUGGGGAGAUAUGG
Molecule: small nucleolar RNA, 130 nt
Organism: Ictidomys tridecemlineatus (thirteen-lined ground squirrel)
Lineage: Eukaryota; Metazoa; Chordata; Mammalia; Rodentia; Sciuridae
Source: Ensembl